ACAGCGCGCUAAGAACUGGCACAGUGCCACACGGUGGCAUGGAGAGCCACUACAUCAUACGGCCACACUUGGAUGAUCAAGAAGAUGGACACAGUAGAAGCAGACUAUGUCAACACAGUGAUGGAGUUGUCAUCAUGAGCCAUGAGGAGAGGAAGACCACAUGUUCAUCAUCAGUAGAAUUACAUGAUAUCCAGUAUUGUCUAUUCUGUAUUACAUGCUUAUUCAUCAUUUACAUUUGUUAGUGUUCCACUUACAAGAAGGAAGAUAACUGCUUCCUCCAGGGCAGUAAAUAUGAAAUAGUCUUACUUUGUAUAAGCUUUGAAAGAUGAACAAGAUGAUCCCAGACUUCAUCAGCAUGUUAAAGUAGUUUUGUUUCUGCAGUGCAUUUCUUCUUUUUUCUUCUGAGAGUCAACAUAACAUCUUCAUUACUAAUAUUGGACUGAUUCAUGGCACCAGUAGUUUUUCUUUUGUUUUUAAGAUGUCAAAAACAUAAUUAAACCAUGUUAUUAAUACAAUUAAUUAGUAAUGAAAUGAAAUGACUGUUAAAAUGUGAACUUUCAGAUUUCUUGCCAAGAAGCUUUUCAUGAAGUGUUUAGGAGAAAAGUAUUUUUAUCACUUAUUCUGUCAUUUGUUUUAGCACAUUUACACAGGUAAAGGUUGAUGAUAGCUGCAGAUGACGGAUUUCUUAAUGUCAUAUUUACAGCACAGAAGUCAGCAAAGACACUGUGGUAACUGUGUGCAAAAAACAUUGUUAUGAUUUCAGCUGAUUAAUUGUGUCAUUAUUGUAAUUCAUGUGAUAUAUUCUAUACAUAUCAAUAAUAAAGAAGAUUAAGCAUA
This is a long non-coding RNA of Thunnus maccoyii (southern bluefin tuna), 837 nucleotides long. RefSeq lists it as uncharacterized. NCBI's taxonomy places the organism in Eukaryota, Metazoa, Chordata, Actinopteri, Scombriformes, Scombridae. The record is from RefSeq and is a predicted model, not a curated record. The transcript has 2 exons.